AGAUUGAACGCUGGCGGCAUGCCUUACACAUGCAAGUCGAACGGCAGCAUGACGUGUAGCAAUACACGUUGAUGGCGAGUGGCGAACGGGUGAGUAAUAUAUCGGAACGUGUCCUGUAGCGGGGGAUAACCUAUCGAAAGAUGGACUAAUACCGCAUACGCUCUACGGAGGAAAGCGGGGGUCGCAAGACCUCGCACUAUAGGAGCGGCCGAUAUCGGAUUAGCUAGUUGGCGGGGUAAAAGCCCACCAAGGCGACGAUCCGUAGCUGGUCUGAGAGGAUGAUCAGCCACACUGGAACUGAGACACGGUCCAGACUCCUACGGGAGGCAGCAGUGGGGAAUUUUGGACAAGUGGGCGCAAGCCUGAUCCAGCCAUGCCGCGUGAGUGAAGAAGGCCUUGGUGUAAGCUCGUUCGGCAGGAACGAAGUGGUUACGUGUUAAUACCACGACUGAUGACGGUACUAGAAGAAGAAGCACCGCUAACUACG
RNAcentral lists this ribosomal RNA (487 nucleotides) under uncultured soil bacterium. Its description in RNAcentral is "bacterial SSU rRNA". It matches the Rfam family "Bacterial small subunit ribosomal RNA", at positions 26 to 505 of the family's 1533-position model. The record is from RNAcentral.